CAUUGUGGUUAAUUCGAUGAUACGCGAGGUAACCUUACCUGGCUUAAAUGUAGAGUGCGAUGGGGUAGAAAUAUCCCUUUCCUUCGGGACUCUUUGCAGGUGCUGCAUGGUUGUCGUCAGCUCGUGCCGUGAGGUGUCGGGUUAAGUCCCAUAACGAGCGCAACCCUUAUCGUUAGUUGCCAUCAGGUAAAGCUGGGAACUCUGGGGAGACUGCCGGUGAUAAACCGGAGGAAGGCGGGGAUGACGUCAAGUCCUCAUGGCCCUUACAUCCCGGGCUACACACGUGCUACAAUGGCAGGUACAGAGGGCUGCGAAGCCGCGAGGUGGAGCGAAAUCCCAGAAAACCUGUCUCAGUCCGGAUUGAAGUCUGCAACUCGACUUCAUGAAGGCGGAAUCGCUAGUAACCGCGAAUCAGCAGGUCGCGGUGAAUACGUUCCCGGGCCUU
This 445-nucleotide ribosomal RNA is filed under the name uncultured Latescibacterota bacterium. RNAcentral describes it as "bacterial SSU rRNA". It matches the Rfam family "Bacterial small subunit ribosomal RNA", at positions 938 to 1382 of the family's 1533-position model. Lineage: Bacteria; Pseudomonadati; Candidatus Latescibacterota. The record is from RNAcentral.